AGCAAAUGACAAGAUCUCCAUCGG
RNAcentral lists this non-coding RNA (24 nucleotides) under Arabidopsis thaliana (thale cress). The record is from RNAcentral. Lineage: Eukaryota; Viridiplantae; Streptophyta; Magnoliopsida; Brassicales; Brassicaceae.